CCAGCCAUGCGCGUGAGUGAGAAGGCCUUCGGGUUGUAAAGCUCUUUUGUCAAGGGAAGAAAGCUUAGGCACUAAUACUGCUUGGGGAUGACGGUACCUGAAGAAUAAGCACCGGCUAACUACGUGCCAGCAGCCGCGGUAAUACGUAGGGUGCAAGCGUUAAUCGGAAUUACUGGGCGUAAAGAGUGCGUAGGCGGUUUGUUAAGACAGCUGUGAAAUCCCCGGGCUUAACCUGGGAACUGCGGUUGUGACUGGCAGGCUAGAGUGUAGCAGAGGAAGAUGGAAUUCCACGUGUAGCAGUGAAAUGCGUAGAGAUGUGGAGGAACACCAAUGGCGAAGGCAAUCUCCUGGGUUAACACUGACGCUGAGGCACGAAAGCGUGGGGAGCAAACAGGAUUAGAUACCCUGGUAGUCCACGCCCUAAACGAUGUCAACUAGUUGUUGGGGGAAGCUAUCCCUUAGUAACGAAGCUAACGCGUGAAGUUGACCGCCUGGGGAGUACGGUCGCAAGAUUAAAACUCAAAGGAAUUGACGGG
RNAcentral lists this ribosomal RNA (536 nucleotides) under uncultured bacterium. Its description in RNAcentral is "bacterial SSU rRNA". It matches the Rfam family "Bacterial small subunit ribosomal RNA", at positions 388 to 917 of the family's 1533-position model. The record is from RNAcentral.